This is a non-coding RNA of Equus caballus (horse), 6893 nucleotides long. The record is from RefSeq and is a predicted model, not a curated record. NCBI's taxonomy places the organism in Eukaryota, Metazoa, Chordata, Mammalia, Perissodactyla, Equidae.
UGCAGCCAGGCAUUGCAACCCUGAUCGUUCCAGGCUGUUUCUUCAACAUUUAUGUGUUUUCCUUAACUGGAAAUGUUAGGCGCACAGCCGCCUCCCUUCUGGGACUGGAAGAUGAGAUAUUUUGCAAGCUUGUCUCGUCCUCCGAAGCACAGGGGGGGGAUUCUCUUUCCUGACCCUUCCCACACACUCUGGCCUCCCCCUCUGAAUGCACAAUCACUUCCUGAGUCCUGCUCUCACCCCCGGAGUGAUAGAGAAUGAAAGCUGAGCUCCAACAUGAGUUUCCCCGCUGUGAUGAGUCUCUUGAAUUUUAAAUAUAAGACAUAUUUAUUCAAUCCUCUAGUUUGGUAGGAGAAGUGACUAGCCCCUGACUCUGGAUGUGUGUGAUCCGGAGACAGCAGAAAUGUCUAUUUUGAUUGAUCAAGAGUCCCUAUAAGGUACUUCCGUUUGCACAGCUAAGCGUGGGCUGGGGCUGGCACGGCCAGCUGUGCCAUUCCUGUGGCCACGUGGCUGGUGGCCAGACCCGGGCUGGGAGAGAGCUGAGGACUGUUUCCUGGGAAGCCUUGCCCAGUGUCCCCCCACUGCCUUCCCCGUGCAGCUGCUGGGCAAGUCAUCCGCCUGGGCACCGGGGCCUUGCUUGGCGCUGGCGGACACGGAUCCUCCUGGCGGCUCUGGCAGCUUGGACAGGUUCCACGGAGGAAACUGAGGCAGAACCUCACCUGGUCCUGCCAUCCGGUGACUUCGGCGUCUCUACGUCAGAGAGGGAGCUUGUGGGAUCUCCGCCCCCUUCCAAGAUACUGUUCAUUCUUCUUCUUUCUCACAGGGAUGAGUAUUAGUGAAAACGGAUUCUCUUCCGCGAAAGUCACCUCACGUGGCUGCACUCUGGGAAGCUGGCAGGGUUUGCCUCUGACACCACAUUGUCUGUUUUUCUCUUCCGCCCCCCCUCCCAGUUUUAAAAACCACAUUCAUUACUUUUAUUUUCCUUUUCGCUUUAUUUUUCAGUGUGCAUUACGCAAACGUUAAAGAGCAUUAACAAAAUUCUAAGUAAAAGGCGAGAAGAACCACCCACAACUCUGCCACCACCGGCCACACUGCGUCACUUUGCCGGGCCCUGCCCCGCGCAGAGCCACACGCGUGCGUAACUUCACCGGCAUAGUUGUGGCAGAGACGUGUUUUGUAUCCACUUUUUUUGUUUUUUUACUGGACGUUGUAUGGUAAGGUCUUUCCAUGUCGUCACGUGGCGUUUACAUUUAUCUUUCUGUUCUUCUCCCAGCCAUUCCUCGGGUGAAUACGAUGUAAUCGAUGUGACCAUUUUCCUACAUGUGAUCAAUACCAAUGGCUCCAGCUUCUUGCCGUCGUGGGAAAGCACUCUGCUUUCCCCUGUGGGACCAAUUCCUCGUGAUGAAUCCCUAAGAGUUUCCUCUCGAUUUUGCUUUGGAUCCAGAGGGGCCAGAGAUCUCGGGGAGCUGGGCAUCUCUUUGAUCCUACUGGAAUCUGUCUGAUCUUCAGACUCACCAGGGAACUUUGACAAGAUACUGCCGCCUGGGCCUCCUUGCAGACCCACUGAACUGAAAUUUCUCAGGUGAGUGCAGAAAUGCCCUUGACUCACUCAAUAAGCAGUUGUGGACGAUAACUGUCUUCAUGAGCUCGUGCUUCACUCCUUCACAUAAGGCAAGACCCUUGUCCCUUGACAUGCGUGAGUACCUUUCCCUCUGCUGCUUGGCUGGGGGCUUAGGGGGGCUUUCAUGAGCCUGGGAUCAUGCCCUUCUUGUUGUUCCCAAGCAGAAAAACAUCCCUUGAAAACUGUCUCCCAGAAACAGGAGGGUGAGGGGAGGCAGGAAACCGUCCCACGUGGCAAUCACCUGGGAAGGGAGGGGUGGGUGCAGCUGAAGCAACAGGGAGCUGGGCGGAGGCAUCCUGAAUCCUGGAGUGGGAAGCACAGUGAUGGGGAGUGAGUCUGGGCCCUGCGGGUGUCUAGGGGGCAGCCUGGCAGGACCUCUGCACCCCUUAAAUGUUCUUGUCCACUCUGGUGGACCCACGCCGACCAAACGUCCCUGCAUGCAGGCCUGAGGGCCACAGAGCAGAGGAGGAUUCUGGAUUUCCCCCUUCACUCAGCCGUAUCCUGGCCUCCAGCACAGAGCCUGGCCCUGUCCAUCAAUCCUCGCUGAAUAUUAAAAGCCAGCAUUCACUGAAGUGUUUACAGUGAUUUGAGGACUGUGCUGACCAUUCUACUUGUACUGUCUCAUGUGAUCUGUGCAACAACCCGGAGGAUAGACACUGUUCCUCUUCCCAUUUAGGGAUGAAGCUGAGACAGACUGAGAUCAGGUCAUUUGUGCAAGUCCUCACUGCUGGGAAGGGAAGAGAAGAGCGGGGCUCAGAACCCGGGCCAUGGCCUAGCUUCUGGGCUUCCCGGCUCAGUGGUCCUGCCUUUGCUCUGUCGUGGCUGUGUGGCUGACAGGUUUUGUUCCAAGAGCCAGCCCCUACUCUAAGAAAUGUCACGAAUCACAUAGGCUUUUGUGAGUGUCCUUAGAGCCUGACCUUGAUGUAUGACACUGUCCCUAUGGAAAAAUGUCCCCAUCUUAGGAAAUGUAGUGAAGCCUGGCCAAAGGAAAUGAAGGCUCCAGCACAACUUGGGGUUCUCAGUGUCCUAAACACUCUCCUCUUGGAUGACAUUCCCAAGAAAUGAAGCCAAGAUGAGGUUUGAUCAAACACUCUGCCGAUUCUUAGAACAUCUGCCCUCCAUCCUCUCCCUUCUCUCUCCUUGAACUGGUUUUAGGGGCAACUCAGAAGUCAGACUAAUUCUGGUUAAGAUCUGGGUGCAGUGGGUCAGAGGUCAAAGGGAGGCUUCUCCGCUGCCAGCCCCAGCAUCUGUGCUAUUUCCUGAGUGAUCCAGCCAACUUUGGGGCUGAGCUUCCUCCAGCUGGCCUCUUAAACCCUUCUAGUGGGGCUCCAGAUCCUCCCAGGGGCGCUGGAUCCAGCCAACGCAAUUGCCUUGGGGGCCUUCCACAGGGCCUUCGGGGCACAGACAGAACUCUCCAUGAUUCUUGGGGAUGUGAGAAAAGUCCACAGGCAAAUGCCAGAAUGAGAAAGAAGAUUGUCCACUUUGCUCCUUUCCUGUCCAGCUCAAAUGCAUCCAUCUUCUUCGAUCUCUUUUGGGUGUGUGGGAGGGAGACAUCUUGGAGGAACCAGUGACAAAGGCUUGCUAUUAAGCAAGCUGAUUUGACAGACACAUGACCAGGGAGGGCUGGGCUCAGCCUCAGAGAUAUUUUGCAGCAGGAUGUGAGAGGGCGUGAAUCUAAAAUCUAAAAGUGGGUAUGCGGUGCGGGGGAGGGGCGGUUCGGGAAGGCACCGGGCCGUUCCACAGUUGGAAGGGCUAGCCUUUUGCUCCCUGACAACACAAGCAGAGGCAGCAUGACUUCCUGGCAACAACCUUCCCUCUUACUUUCAUCUGAAACCUUUCUACCUUCUAGCUGGCAAAUGUGAGUGAAUGUUCGUUGGUCCCAGGGUUAUACACUAGCCUAAAAACAUUGGAAGAGUCAUUGGUUUAUGUUGUGACGAAUAGAAUCUUCAGAUCAGAAGCACACGCAUAUGUGUGUGUGUGUGUGAAUGGUGUGGCGUGUACGUGGUGUGUGUAGCAUGGUGUGGGGUGGCGGUGGUGGUGAUGAUGGCGUGUGUGUGCGUGUGGGUGUUGUGAGCAUCCUGGAGGGAAGACUUCUUGCUUCCACUUCACUGAGUGAAACAGCCCAUUAUAGGUGAACAGCAAAUCUCCCUCUUCUUCUUCUCCUGGUACACGUUCUCCAUCCCAGAUGAAGUCAAGCAGACAUGCUAAGCUGGGGAGAGAAAACGCUAGAUGACACAGGUUCUCGGGAUUUAUUUGUAAGAAAACGAUGCGCGUUUUCGUCUUCGGUUCUCUGGAACAGGACUGGUCUGUGGAGACAGGAUCACUUGGUGUCACGGAGGGGUGCGGGUGAGGAGGACACUCUUAGGAGCAGCCAGCGCACCUGCUCUUCUCAGUUUCCCCUCGGCUAGCCCCAUGGUGACAUGGCCUGGUGCUGCCCCAUCACGUCAACUGGCGUCGUUGGCCCUGGGCUGAGGCUGACGCUUCUUGUCCCACUGGGGCCAUAAGGAUGCAAACCAGCGAACCCCGGGCCACUGAAGCAGAGUGUGCGAACUUAACCGCUGCACCACUGCGCCACCGCGACAGAUUGUAUUUUCAAAAUGACCACAUGCCAUCCUCUUCCAGAACUUUGCAGCCCCUCUAACACAAAAGGACAAGUGCUUCCCCGCGCUUUGAGAAGGAUCUGGCCUUCACAAAUAGAAUGCAGUGGAAGUGACACUGCGUGGCUUCUGACACUAGGACACAAAAGAGCAGUACGGCUUCAGCCUGGCCUUCUCUCUCUUUCUGCACCCUGGGGGCCCUGAGAGAACUUGCAGGAAGUUUGCUGCCCUGAAGUCCCCAUGCUGGAGGGACAGUGUGGAGAGACCACACAGACAGAGAGAGAGAUGCCCCAGCACCUGUGAGUCUCCCCAGCAUGAGCCACUGCCCAUGUGAGCGAGUGGGCGAGCCUGUGGUGAUUCCACGCUCCAGCCUUGAGCUGCUCCAGCUGACGCUCGGUGGUGUGGAGAGAAGCCGGUCCUGCCGAGUCUUGCCUCAAAUGCAGAUCCAUGAGUGAAACAGACGCCGGCGUUUUCAGUCAUGAAGUUCAGGGCACUUACUCACACAGUGGACAAUCAGAGCAUGCCCCCUAGCAGGCCGGACUUUCUCAAUCCCAUUCCAUCUUUUCAAGAAGUUUUCAAAGUGUCUGGCCAUUCAUGUUAUCCUUCCCUGUUUAAUAUUGAUAAAGAAAUUAUUUUAUUUUGUUAUUUCUUAUUUUAUUUAUACAAAAACUGUCUCAAAUUUUUAUUCUUGUUGGUCAUUUCAUCAGAAUUAUGGGUGAACAGGAGAUAAAACUGUGGCCUCAAAUUGCCACCUUGCACAGAAACUUGUGGUUUCGUUCCUGAUUAAGAUGCUGUGUGACGUCCAUAUGUCCCCGUCCCUUGUGUGCGUGUCAGUGGGAAAGAGUUUAUCAGGUCAGCUGUGUCGUUUAGCAAGGCCCAGCUCUGGGGGACUCUUCGGCCCUGCCUGUGCACACGUGACAUUAAUUCAUAAUUUAGGGGGACUUUUUAGGUGUUCAUGCACUUGAUAGUAAGAUAAACUACUUCUAAACGUUGUUAAUCUGUUGUGGCGGCUCGCCGCAGAAUAAGCAGAGCAGAGUGCUUUGUAAGGAGAAAUAAAAAUAAUAAUGCUUUCCUAAUUUCAUGCAGAAUCAGCAGUUCUAAACUCACCAGAAUCUGUAAACAGAAUGUCAAAUAAAAAAGAUUAACAUUCCUAAAAAAUUACAGUUUUGUUGAAUGGGGAAUAAAUCAUGGAUCCUCUUCCACCUGGGCUGACAGACGAUUUUAUGAGUUCCAAUAUUGCUGAGCGUGCUUCCUCACAGCGUGAUUUUCAUACCCCUCUCGCCCUGGUUGGUUGUCCGUAGUUGAGCCUGAAACAGCCUUGUUCUCCAUCCUGGUCCGCACUUCUUUCUUGUGUUGCCCCUUUCAGGAGAACGUCUGAACAGGCUGUAGACCAUUUAAGUCUUUGGGGGAACAAGCCCUCAGCAGUUAAGGGAGGGAUGGGUAUGGAAGAGAGUGGCCUGGCAGGGCGGGAAGGCACGGACUCCGAGGCUGGAUCGGGGAGGAUCUUGGCUCUACCACUUACCGGCUCGCGAUCUUCGGCACGUGACCUCCUUGGAGCGUCAGUUUCCUUAGCUAAAAAGUAGGCAUAAUCACAUGUGUUAUUUGCUUGAGCUGUCAUAAUGAGGGGCCACAGACUGCGUGGCUUAAACACUAGAAGUUUAUUUACUCACAGAUCUGGAGGCUGGAAGCCCAAGAUCAAGGUGUCGUCAAGGUUGGUUUUUCCGAGCCUCUUUCCCUCGCUUGGAGACAUCCGUCUCCACCCUGUGUCUUCAUGGUCUGCCCUCUGUGCGUGUCUGUGUCCUCAUCUCCUCUUCUUACAAGGACACCAGUUAUACUGAAUUAGGCUUCACCAUAAUGACCUCAUUUUCGUUUAAUUUCUUCUUUAAAGACUCUCUCCAAACGCAGUCGCAUUUUGAGGUCCUGGGGGUUAGGGCUUCACCAUAUGGAUUUUGAGGGGACGCAAUUCAGCCCAUAACACACACUUAUCCUAAAGGGGUGUUUUGAAAUAUUGUAGAUAGAGUUCCCAGCACACAAUAAAGAUGUAGAAAAUGUUAACUCUCUGUCUUCCUCCUCUCAAUUCCAAAUUCUUUUGUCCCUGACGGUAGAAGGAAAUGUAUUUCCUUUACCCUUAAUCUAAUUUUCCCUCUUUUUCUUUCCAAGAAAUUAUUUGUGAGGAAUAAAGGGAAAAUGAUCUAUUUUAAUUUUUUUUUCCCAAAGAUCCUAUUUCAUUAGUCUCAAAUGGAGUUCCAGCAAUUUUCUUCCUCUCUUCCGGAAUGUGGACAUGAUGACUGGAACUUCAACAGCCACCCUAAAGCUCAGAGAUGACCUUGAGGUGACCUCCCAUAUAAAGUGGAGGAGUGAGAAAUAGAGGACACCCAGGGCAUGGAUGACAUCAUGUAGAUGUCUAUCAGCCUGGGACUGCCUACCUCAGGACUUCGUGUUACAUGAGAGGAAAACAUCCUCUAUAUCAUUUAUACUGUUGUUAUUUUAGCCAAAGAUAAUUCCUAGCUAGUGUGGAAUUUUAGUUCAGUUGCAGAAUUUAAGGUGCAUGUUAAUAAACUAAUUUAUGUUAAAAAAGAAAUUGACUUCAUGUCCUUCCAAGCUAACACUCAGUGUCUUGCACUGACUGCAGUUUGAGCAGUGCUGUGUGAGCACGUGUGCAUAAAUCUGUGUUCCGG